Molecule: ribosomal RNA, 505 nt
Filed under: Vibrio sp. EBKC5
Lineage: Bacteria; Pseudomonadati; Pseudomonadota; Gammaproteobacteria; Vibrionales; Vibrionaceae
Description: bacterial SSU rRNA
Rfam family: Bacterial small subunit ribosomal RNA
Source: RNAcentral
AGCCUGAUGCAGCCAUGCCGCGUGUAUGAAGAAGGCCUUCGGGUUGUAAAGUACUUUCAGUUGUGAGGAAGGGUGUGUAGUUAAUAGCUGCGCAUCUUGACGUUAGCAACAGAAGAAGCACCGGCUAACUCCGUGCCAGCAGCCGCGGUAAUACGGAGGGUGCGAGCGUUAAUCGGAAUUACUGGGCGUAAAGCGCAUGCAGGUGGUUCAUUAAGUCAGAUGUGAAAGCCCGGGGCUCAACCUCGGAACUGCAUUUGAAACUGGUGAACUAGAGUGCUGUAGAGGGGGGUAGAAUUUCAGGUGUAGCGGUGAAAUGCGUAGAGAUCUGAAGGAAUACCAGUGGCGAAGGCGGCCCCCUGGACAGACACUGACACUCAGAUGCGAAAGCGUGGGGAGCAAACAGGAUUAGAUACCCUGGUAGUCCACGCCGUAAACGAUGUCUACUUGGAGGUUGUGGCCUUGAGCCGUGGCUUUCGGAGCUAACGCGUUAAGUAGACCGCCUGGG